This 489-nucleotide ribosomal RNA is filed under the name uncultured bacterium. RNAcentral describes it as "partial 16S ribosomal RNA". It matches the Rfam family "Bacterial small subunit ribosomal RNA", at positions 28 to 507 of the family's 1533-position model. The record is from RNAcentral.
GACGAACGCUGGCGGCGUGCUUAACACAUGCAAGUCGAACGGAAAGGCCCCCAUCUUGGUGGGGGUGCUCGAGUGGCGAACGGGUGAGUAACACGUGGGUGAUCUGCCCUGUACUUCGGGAUAAGCUUGGGAAACUGGGUCUAAUACCGGAUAGGACCAUGGUUUAGUGUCUCAUGGUGGAAAGAUUAUUGUUUUGGUGCAGGAUGAGCUCGCGGCCUAUCAGCUUGUUGGUGGGGUAAUGGCCUACCAAGGCGUCGACGGGUAGCCGGCCUGAGAGGGUGGACGGCCACAUUGGGACUGAGAUACGGCGCAGACUCCUACGGGAGGCAGCAGCGGGGAAUAUUGGACAAUGGGCGCAAGGCUGAUGCAGCGACGCCGCGUGGGGGAUGACGGCCUUCGGGUUGUAAACUCCUUUCGUUAGGGACGAAGCCGCACUUUUUUUGGGUGUGGUGACGGUACCUUUGUUAAGAAGCACCGGCUAACUACGUG